Long non-coding RNA from Rhipicephalus sanguineus (brown dog tick), 625 nucleotides. RefSeq lists it as uncharacterized. The record is from RefSeq and is a predicted model, not a curated record. The transcript has 5 exons. Lineage: Eukaryota; Metazoa; Arthropoda; Arachnida; Ixodida; Ixodidae.
AACGCCCGCGACAUCGCCAAGGCGAGCGAGGGAGCACACUGGGACGUGUUUCGAGUCAGCACGCCCGGUGGCGCCGCCGUGCUCAAGGUCCUGCACGUCGAGUACAUCGCCCGCUACGCGAAGGAGCUCUGCAACCACUUGCUGGUCGCCAGAGCCCUGGAACGUCUAAGCGACGGAAGAGGUUCGAACUUUACCACGGGAUUCGUCCUCGUCACGAGGGCUGUUUGCGUGUGGGACGGCUACCCGCAGGAAUUGAGCGACGCAUGCCGCCGGUUCGCCGCAGCACGCCGCGACACCGCAUCGAGAAACGUCGACCACAUCAUCGACUAUCGUCAGGUGCCUCAGCCUUACCUCGUGCUGCAGACGGGCUACGCCGGAAUUCCCCUCUCAUCGGUGGAGACGCUGAGUGCUUCGCAAGUGGUCAGCGUCUUCCGGCAAGUCAUACUCACCCUGGCCGUGGCCGAGGCAGCAUUCAACUUCGAGCACCGACACCUCAGCCUCGAGAGCAUUUACGUCACGAGGACGCAGAGGGAAAGCAUCGAAUGGAAGGUCGAGGGGAGGCUGUACCGCGUCCAAACCCGCGGAGUCAUCGCACACGUCGCCGACUUCAGCGCCGCUCGCAUGG